This 962-nucleotide long non-coding RNA is filed under the name Coturnix japonica (Japanese quail). Its description in RNAcentral is "lncRNA (ENSCJPG00005018064.1)". The record is from RNAcentral. Lineage: Eukaryota; Metazoa; Chordata; Aves; Galliformes; Phasianidae.
UGUACUAAAAUUGUUUUUAGUGUACACAGGUAGAAAAAAGCACUAAGCACUGAAGAUCACAACUGGAAGCCACUGUUAAAAGAAGUCAUGGUGUAUGGAGACAGCUCCAUUGGAAUGAGCUGAGUGUAGAAAUGGAAGAAGGAACCAAUCCUUCUCUUGCUAUUUCAAGGGGGCCAGGAAUUCCCAGGAAAAAAUCCAGCAAACUAUUCAAUUCUACAUCUUCCUCCUGGAGGCCUGGAGACUGGAGCAGUACGUGCUACUCAAAUGCGCUCUUUAGGAGUGUUGAGUUUCAGAGAACAUCACAGAAGUUAACUUCAUGCUGCUUUCAGAAAGACUGAUGGUAGAGGCUUGCUUGUCAUCACAUUGUCAUCUUGUCCAAAGAGACUGGAUCGCAAUAAGUUAAAGCUCUGGUGUGACACAGUAAAGACUUAAGUGUAUGCUUCUAAGAACAACCUCUUGCUAUAAUCCUAUAAGAUGACUAAGAUGGAUGAGGAAGGCUUAGGUUUGAGUCAAUCUUUGGGUCCUUUUCAUGCCUUUAAUUCUGUCUGACUGAUAAGACUAUAUGCAACGUGCAAGAGCGUUGUGCCUGAGCUAUGAAAACAGCUGCAACAGAGGACAGAUCUUAAAUCUUCCCUGGAUGGCGACAUGUAUGUUUGUAUCUAUCAAUCAGCCCUGUCUUCCUGCUUUGAGAUCCACCUGGUCAUUGUUCCAGGCAAAGUUUAGGGAACUAUUUCAGCAAAUUCAAGUGGAAUUUGACAAAUAGUUUCAGGCCAGUUAUUGUAUGAGGUGAAUUUUCUAAACCACCAGCUAAGAAGUUUUUAGGCAAUACAUUUCACUUUGUUGUUAGUUAUUUUUCAUCACUGUCUGAAGCAGAAAGAGGAAUAAUGGGUUGUUUUAAUUGCUCCUUUCAAGUAUUCCAUGUUUGGUCACACCCAAACAAAAUGUGCUCAUCCCAAAUUGUC